This 2900-nucleotide ribosomal RNA is filed under the name Klebsiella pneumoniae. Its description in RNAcentral is "bacterial LSU rRNA". It matches the Rfam family "Bacterial large subunit ribosomal RNA". The record is from RNAcentral. Lineage: Bacteria; Pseudomonadati; Pseudomonadota; Gammaproteobacteria; Enterobacterales; Enterobacteriaceae.
UUAAGCGACUAAGCGUACACGGUGGAUGCCCUGGCAGUCAGAGGCGAUGAAGGACGUGCUAAUCUGCGAAAAGCGUCGGUAAGGUGAUAUGAACCGUUAUAACCGGCGAUGUCCGAAUGGGGAAACCCAGUGCAAUUCGUUGCACUAUCGUUAACUGAAUACAUAGGUUAACGAGGCGAACCGGGGGAACUGAAACAUCUAAGUACCCCGAGGAAAAGAAAUCAACCGAGAUUCCCCCAGUAGCGGCGAGCGAACGGGGAGCAGCCCAGAGUCUGAAUCAGCUUGUGUGUUAGUGGAACGGUCUGGAAAGUCCGACGGUACAGGGUGAUAGUCCCGUACACCAAAAUGCACAGGUUGUGAACUCGAAGAGUAGGGCGGGACACGUGGUAUCCUGUCUGAAUAUGGGGGGACCAUCCUCCAAGGCUAAAUACUCCUGACUGACCGAUAGUGAACCAGUACCGUGAGGGAAAGGCGAAAAGAACCCCGGCGAGGGGAGUGAAAAAGAACCUGAAACCGUGUACGUACAAGCAGUGGGAGCACCUUCGGGUGUGACUGCGUACCUUUUGUAUAAUGGGUCAGCGACUUAUAUUCUGUAGCAAGGUUAACCGUAUAGGGGAGCCGCAGGGAAACCGAGUCUUAACUGGGCGUUAAGUUGCAGGGUAUAGACCCGAAACCCGGUGAUCUAGCCAUGGGCAGGUUGAAGGUUGGGUAACACUAACUGGAGGACCGAACCGACUAAUGUUGAAAAAUUAGCGGAUGACUUGUGGCUGGGGGUGAAAGGCCAAUCAAACCGGGAGAUAGCUGGUUCUCCCCGAAAGCUAUUUAGGUAGCGCCUCGUGAAUUCAUCUUCGGGGGUAGAGCACUGUUUCGGCUAGGGGGUCAUCCCGACUUACCAACCCGAUGCAAACUACGAAUACCGAAGAAUGUUAUCACGGGAGACACACGGCGGGUGCUAACGUCCGUCGUGAAGAGGGAAACAACCCAGACCGCCAGCUAAGGUCCCAAAGUCAUGGUUAAGUGGGAAACGAUGUGGGAAGGCACAGACAGCCAGGAUGUUGGCUUAGAAGCAGCCAUCAUUUAAAGAAAGCGUAAUAGCUCACUGGUCGAGUCGGCCUGCGCGGAAGAUGUAACGGGGCUAAACCAUGCACCGAAGCUGCGGCAGCGACACUAUGUGUUGUUGGGUAGGGGAGCGUUCUGUAAGCCUGCGAAGGUGACCUGUGAGGCAUGCUGGAGGUAUCAGAAGUGCGAAUGCUGACAUAAGUAACGAUAAAGCGGGUGAAAAGCCCGCUCGCCGGAAGACCAAGGGUUCCUGUCCAACGUUAAUCGGGGCAGGGUGAGUCGACCCCUAAGGCGAGGCCGAAAGGCGUAGUCGAUGGGAAACAGGUUAAUAUUCCUGUACUUGGUGUUACUGCGAAGGGGGGACGGAGAAGGCUAUGUUAGCCGGGCGACGGUUGUCCCGGUUUAAGCAUGUAGGCUGGUUGUCCAGGCAAAUCCGGAUAAUCAAGGCUGAGGUGUGAUGACGAGGCACUACGGUGCUGAAGUAACAAAUGCCCUGCUUCCAGGAAAAGCCUCUAAGCAUCAGGUAACAUUAAAUCGUACCCCAAACCGACACAGGUGGUCAGGUAGAGAAUACCAAGGCGCUUGAGAGAACUCGGGUGAAGGAACUAGGCAAAAUGGUGCCGUAACUUCGGGAGAAGGCACGCUGGUGUGUAGGUGAAGUCCCUGCGGAUGGAGCUGAGACCAGUCGAAGAUACCAGCUGGCUGCAACUGUUUAUUAAAAACACAGCACUGUGCAAACACGAAAGUGGACGUAUACGGUGUGACGCCUGCCCGGUGCCGGAAGGUUAAUUGAUGGGGUUAUCCGUAAGGAGAAGCUCUUGAUCGAAGCCCCGGUAAACGGCGGCCGUAACUAUAACGGUCCUAAGGUAGCGAAAUUCCUUGUCGGGUAAGUUCCGACCUGCACGAAUGGCGUAAUGAUGGCCAGGCUGUCUCCACCCGAGACUCAGUGAAAUUGAACUCGCUGUGAAGAUGCAGUGUACCCGCGGCAAGACGGAAAGACCCCGUGAACCUUUACUAUAGCUUGACACUGAACAUUGAGCCUUGAUGUGUAGGAUAGGUGGGAGGCUUUGAAGCGUGGACGCCAGUCUGCGUGGAGCCAACCUUGAAAUACCACCCUUUAAUGUUUGAUGUUCUAACGUUGGCCCCUUACCGGGGUUGCGGACAGUGUCUGGUGGGUAGUUUGACUGGGGCGGUCUCCUCCCAAAGCGUAACGGAGGAGCACGAAGGUUAGCUAAUCCUGGUCGGACAUCAGGAGGUUAGUGCAAUGGCAUAAGCUAGCUUGACUGCGAGCGUGACGGCGCGAGCAGGUGCGAAAGCAGGUCAUAGUGAUCCGGUGGUUCUGAAUGGAAGGGCCAUCGCUCAACGGAUAAAAGGUACUCCGGGGAUAACAGGCUGAUACCGCCCAAGAGUUCAUAUCGACGGCGGUGUUUGGCACCUCGAUGUCGGCUCAUCACAUCCUGGGGCUGAAGUAGGUCCCAAGGGUAUGGCUGUUCGCCAUUUAAAGUGGUACGCGAGCUGGGUUUAGAACGUCGUGAGACAGUUCGGUCCCUAUCUGCCGUGGGCGCUGGAGAAUUGAGGGGGGCUGCUCCUAGUACGAGAGGACCGGAGUGGACGCAUCACUGGUGUUCGGGUUGUCAUGCCAAUGGCACUGCCCGGUAGCUAAAUGCGGAAGAGAUAAGUGCUGAAAGCAUCUAAGCACGAAACUUGCCCCGAGAUGAGUUCUCCCUGAGACUUUAAGUCUCCUGAAGGAACGUUAAAGACGAUGACGUUGAUAGGCCGGGUGUGUAAGCGCAGCGAUGCGUUGAGCUAACCGGUACUAAUGAACCGUGAGGCUUAACCUU